GGUGCCUAAGCUCCAUCAAACGCCAUCCUUCGACAGCCUCCCAUUUUUUCAGCUCUAAGUGGCACACCCAUCUCCUCGCUGCACGCGCGACCUGCCUCCCCCCAUCACACUCCCAGCAGACCAAACAACCGAAGCUCAUCUGAAUCUGUAGCCCAGUGCAGCCCACCCGAACAUCAGCGACAAUGAAGUGCUGCCGCGUAUUCGUCUUCAUGCUGCUCAUGCUCUUCACAGCGUGUGCUACGUGCUCUAUUUUGUUCCCCGUGUUCCGCAAGGUAGAUGCCGGCACCGACACAACGAACACCGUAUAUUUCUGGUACCGCCAGUCAUCCACGCCGGCCAAAGAGACGCCGGACGUGGAGAUAAUCCGGACGUACUCGUAUCACCUGCAGUGCCUCCAGGGGCAGGUCUACUACACGGUGACGGCCGCGCUGUCUGUGGCCGCGACCGCCUUUAUCGCGUCUUCUGCCUUUCUCACCGCGUGCUGGAUCAACGCACGCUACAAUGACGGCCUCGCCGUCACGAGCACCUUCACGUCGUUCGUAUCACUGGCUUGCUGCGGCGCAACCUUGGGCUUGAUUGUGUGCACCUACUUGACGACGCUCUGCCCUGGCGAGAAGACGCAGAUACCGGCGGCUAAGGAAGACGGAUAUCAGCUGGCGGAAGGCUUCUACUUGCUGUGCGUCGCAACCGGUGGCGCGCUCCUCUGUUUUAUCGUUGGCUUUGCGCUCUGCUGCUCCACCCUGUGCUGCAGUAAGGAGAGCAAGGACGACGACUACGAGUGAGCGAAACAGUGAGGCGUGUGUGCGUGCAUUCCCCCUCCUCCCCCAGUACGCGUGCAGGCUUACUCGACUAUACAUCUAUUCUGUUGGUUUCUUUUUUUUUUCAUGUUUGUGGCUUCCUCACUACCUUCAUUCGUCCGCCCACCGCUGCUGCGUUCCGUUUUCGUCUACUCGCUUCUGUUUCUCUCUCCCUCUCGCGCAGUUGUUGCUUCCCUUCACCUUAGAGGGGGAGGGAAGGCGGGAGGGGGACACUCGGUGCCUCUCCCAGCACUUCGUUCGGUCCUGUGAGGCGCACUCGGCCGUUAUCCUUUUUUAUUUUCGGGUGUUUUGGGGGGAGGGGGGAGGAGAAGGAGGAAGAGGAGGGGAAGGUUCUCGUCAUGUGAUUGUGGAGGGAGACGCACACGCGUGCGAGUAUGUGAGUGGGUGGGUGUGGUCACUGCAUUUCUUGUCUCUUUCUCCCCCUCCCCUUCCCUCUCGCCAUUCCUCCAUCCCCUCUUUGGCUCGCCUUGUUUUCCUCUUCGAUUCGUUUUCACCUCCUUCCUCACUGUACUCUUUCCAUCUUUCUCCUCCCCGUCCAUUUUUGACGACACGGAGCGGCGCGCGUGGGCACCUUUCUGUGGCCCUCAACGUGCAUGCGCACCGUUUACGUACUUCUUUCCGCACCACACGCACCCCUCCGCGCACAUGCACGGGUACAUUGAGACCCGCUUGCAAGGCGGGCAUGUGGCCGCCUCUUGCAGCGCUUGUGCUUCGUGCCCCUUUCCUUAUGCACUGCUGCCAUAACGGAAGCUGUGACGCGGGCAUGUGUGCAGGCAUAUGUGGGCCCGUCUCCGCCCCCCUCUCUUCUCUCUGUGUUUGUGUGUGUGUGUGUGUGAAGGCACGCUCAUGACAGCAAGCGAUAGUGUCUCAAAUCGCUGCGCGUGAGCACUCACCUUUACCCGCUGCGCAAGCCGCUCACUUCAUUUCUGUCGCGCUGUGCCCGUGCGCAUCCUCGUUCGCUUUUUUAUCGUUUUUGUCUCCUUUCUUUCGCAUCAUCAGAGAGCUGGAGGCGGAGGCGCGCACGUCGUGUGGCGGCGGGGCAGAGCUCCAGGCUGGCCCUCCUAGGUGAGCCGUGCGCGUGUGAAGCGCUUGCAAGGGAGGGAGAGGGGGUGGGGAGAGGGAGAAUACGAAACGCUCACUUCGAUCUUGUGAGUACAGUAGCAUCAUACGUGUACUGCACUCACACCCGCCUGCACACGCCUCAGUCCACACAAAAUUCAGACAAGCAAGUGAGCGUACACAGCCAGGUCACGGUGCGUGGCGUGCGCCUCUCCCCUCCCCUCUUUUUUUUUCGGUUUGCUUCCCUGCGCUGCUGCACCGGCAGUUUGCGGUGUGCGCACCGGUGCAGCAGAAGUCCUCCUGUUUCCUCCCUUCCCCUCUCCCCGCUCUUCCUCUGUUUCGGUUUCGCUUACGCCAGCUCUUCCUUUUCAGAACGUCGUAAGUCCUUUCUUGGUAAGGUUGGCGACGCGAAUGAAAGGCGCACCGAUAGUCGAACAGCGAUAGAAAACGAUGCGGGGCCGGGAUGUGUGCGUCACGGCCCUGCCCCUGCCGCUCGAACCGACCCGCUGCAAUGAACCAUGUCUCUUCACGCCGCUUUCAUCUUCGGCUCAUUUCCGAUCUCGAGGCAUCGAGUCACUGUCAACCCUCCCCCCGCUUCCAGCACCCCUCUCUUGGAUAUCGCGACAAGAAGUCCCCCCGUACGGUGACAGACAAAGUCAAAAAAAAGGAGGGCGGGGAUGCGCGUACGCCCGCCUACUCAUGCGAGUGAUUUUAUCGAGGGUGCGAGCGGAGGGGCACCACAGACUCAUACACGCCUUCAGGGAGAAUAGACAACUCAGCAGGGAGGACGCGUUGUGAACACGAUUUUGUAUUCAUUAUGCAUAUCUUUGGGGCAUCGUUUUCUCUUCUUGGCCCCCUCCCACCUUCUCCCUCCCUCUCUUCAUCACCACCCGCUAUGGUUUUGAUGUUGAAGGCCCUUCUUGUGGAGCCCCCCGCCCUCUCCCCCACCCCCUCUUUUCCUUGUUCAGGCUUCACGCGACCCUAUGCGCCUGGAGAUUCCUCACCACACACACACACACACACCAUCUUUCUUGUUCUCUGUUACGUGCUCCUUGUUUUUCUUUCUUCCUCAUUGUCCCUGUCUUCUUCCCCACCCCUAACGAACCUCCCACCCCCUUUCCACCGAGAGCCGCGUUCGCUUUCCACCUUCACUUGUGCCGUGGGGCUGCGGUGUGGUUCGCCCGUAUUCCUUGCCCUUUAAUGGUGCCUUCUUGGCUCAUGAUGAGCCCCCUUCACUUUUUUUUUCCGGGUUCCUCAUCGCAUUCUCAUCCUGUUCGUUUCUCUGUGAUUGCCCGUGAAGGAGAGAGGAGGGGGAGGCGUGUGUGCGUGUGCGUGUGUGGGAGAUCCGUCCUCCACGUUGCGGUGAUUGCGACGGUGUCCACAGCCGCCGUCGAUCUCCCUCCCAUUCCUCUCCGUCCCUCCCUCUACCCCUCUCUGUGCAUACGUGUUGCGUAGAUUUGGUUGCUUCUUCUCUUGCCUUCGAGCAAGCGCGUCCACUU
RNAcentral lists this unclassified non-coding RNA (3376 nucleotides) under Leishmania donovani. RNAcentral describes it as "gene:LdHU3.16.0590(CDS-product:hypothetical_prote in_conserved)". Lineage: Eukaryota; Euglenozoa; Kinetoplastea; Trypanosomatida; Trypanosomatidae. The record is from RNAcentral.